AGUGAACGCUGGCGGUAGGCCUAACACAUGCAAGUCGAACGGCAGCACAGUAAGAGCUUGCUCUUACGGGUGGCGAGUGGCGGACGGGUGAGGAAUACAUCGGAAUCUACUUUUUCGUGGGGGAUAACGUAGGGAAACUUACGCUAAUACCGCAUACGACCUACGGGUGAAAGCAGGGGAUCUUCGGACCUUGCGCGAUUGAAUGAGCCGAUGUCGGAUUAGCUAGUUGGCGGGGUAAAGGCCCACCAAGGCGACGAUCCGUAGCUGGUCUGAGAGGAUGAUCAGCCACACUGGAACUGGGACACGGUCCAGACUCCUACGGGAGGCAGCAGUGGGGAAUAUUGGACAAUGGGCGCAAGCCUGAUCCAGCCAUACCGCGUGGGUGAAGAAGGCCUUCGGGUUGUAAAGCCCUUUUGUUGGGAAAGAAAAGCAGCAGGUUAAUACCCCGCUGUUCUGACGGUACCCAAAGAAUAAGCAACGGCUAACUUCGUG
RNAcentral lists this ribosomal RNA (492 nucleotides) under uncultured bacterium. RNAcentral describes it as "partial 16S ribosomal RNA". It matches the Rfam family "Bacterial small subunit ribosomal RNA", at positions 29 to 507 of the family's 1533-position model. The record is from RNAcentral.